RNAcentral lists this ribosomal RNA (468 nucleotides) under uncultured bacterium. RNAcentral's name for it is "partial 16S ribosomal RNA". It matches the Rfam family "Bacterial small subunit ribosomal RNA", at positions 28 to 507 of the family's 1533-position model. The record is from RNAcentral.
GACGAACGCUGGCGGCGUGCUUAACACAUGCAAGUCGAACGGAAAGGCCCUGCUUUUGUGGGGUGCUCGAGUGGCGAACGGGUGAGUAACACGUGAGUAACCUGCCCUUGACUUUGGGAUAACUUCAGGAAACUGGGGCUAAUACCGGAUAGGAGCUCCUGCUGCAUGGUGGGGGUUGGAAAGUUUCGGCGGUUGGGGAUGGACUCGCGGCUUAUCAGCUUGUUGGUGGGGUAGUGGCUUACCAAGGCUUUGACGGGUAGCCGGCCUGAGAGGGUGACCGGCCACAUUGGGACCGAGAUACGGCCCAGACUCCUACAGGAGGCAGCAGUGGGGAAUAUUGCACAAUGGGCGGAAGCCUGAUGCAGCAACGCCGCGUGCGGGAUGACGGCCUUCGGGUUGUAAACCGCUUUCGCCUGUGACGAAGCGUGAGUGACGGUAAUGGGUAAAGAAGCACCGGCUAACUACGUG